This 46-nucleotide non-coding RNA is filed under the name Schistosoma margrebowiei. The record is from RNAcentral. Lineage: Eukaryota; Metazoa; Platyhelminthes; Trematoda; Strigeidida; Schistosomatidae.
AUCCAACUGACGAGUCCCAAAGCAAGACGAAACACGCGUCCUGGAU